Molecule: RNA transcript, 2287 nt
Organism: Tripterygium wilfordii
Lineage: Eukaryota; Viridiplantae; Streptophyta; Magnoliopsida; Celastrales; Celastraceae
Gene name: sterol 3-beta-glucosyltransferase UGT80A2-like
Exons: 15
Source: RefSeq, a predicted model, not a curated record
GUGCAAAAGAAAUUCCUAAUGACAGAAGGGAAAGAUAUAUACCUUCCCCUAUUGCGUAAUCUCUCCUGUCUCGCUCUCUUCUCCACUUUACAUACGGAUUCUUCUACAUACUUCUAUUCUCUUCCUCUCUUUUUUCUUCCUUCUAGGUUAAUAUACUCAAACAUUGAUGGCGGAGGAGCCGUCGCCGAAUCACAGACGCAGCACUUCUUCCGCUAGUUCCGGUGAGGUUCCCGUCUAUCACGACAUCGAGAUCGUCGAUUCUGAUUCUAGUGCCGCGCCGCCUUCAGUCCCUAUUGAUGGGAGCUUGCCCAGAGAGAAUUCGUCAAGGGAAGCAUCAAUUGCUGGAGUAUCUGAUUCUGGUUCCAGACAGCUUAGUGAACCUGGGAAGUUCAGAAAGAGGGAUAAACUAGGCACUUGGACAGCAAAGCUUUUUGAUGAAAGAAUUUCUUUUAAGAAGAAGCUCAAAUGGUUAAAUCGUUUUGCCACUGUUAAAGAUGAUGGAACUGUACAAUUCGAGGUUCCAGGAGAUAUAAAGCCUCAGAAUCUUGAUUUUGGAACCGGAGUUGUCUACGAUGAAGAAACUGACCAAGAAGCUGUUGGCUCAGCUGAUGUUCCAGAUAUACCUCCUUUGCAAAUAGUGAUGCUUAUAGUUGGAACACGAGGAGAUGUGCAACCAUUUGUUGCCAUUGGAAAACGCUUUCAGGAAUAUGGUCAUAGGGUUAGACUUGCAACUCACUCAAAUUUCAAGGAGUUUGUCUUGACUGCUGGAUUGGAGUUUUUCCCUUUAGGUGGAGAUCCAAAAGUUCUUGCUGGCUAUAUGGUUAAAAAUAAAGGCUUCUUGCCAUCUGCGCCCUCUGACAUACCUACUCAAAGGCAACAAAUAAGAGAGAUCAUAUUCUCUUUACUUCCUGCUUGCAAGGACCCUGAUCCUGAUUCGGGUAUCCCUUUUAAAACAGAUGCAAUAAUCGCCAAUCCCCCAGCAUAUGGGCAUACUCAUGUUGCAGAGGCAUUAAAAGUACCGCUUCAUAUAUUUUUCACGAUGCCAUGGACGCCUACUAGUGAGUUUCCACAUCCUCUAUCUCGUGUUAAGCAGCAAGUUGCCCAUAGGUUAUCCUAUCAAAUAGUCGAUGCAUUGAUUUGGCUUGGAAUACGAGACAUAAUAAAUGAGUUCAGGAAGAAACAGUUGAAGCUAAGACCUGUCACAUAUUUAAGUGGGUACUAUAGCUCUCCACCAGAUGUGCCUUACGGAUAUAUUUGGAGUCCUCACCUUGUCCCAAAACCGAAAGACUGGGGACCUAAAAUUGAUGUUGUUGGGUUUUGUUUCCUCGACCUUGCUUCAAAUUAUGAACCUCCAGAUACACUUGUAAAAUGGCUAGAAGGAGGUGAACCGCCCAUCUAUGUUGGUUUUGGUAGCCUGCCCUUAGAGGAACCAGAGAAAAUGACCCAGAUUAUAGUGGAAGCUCUUCAUGUAACUGGCCAGAGAGGCAUCAUAAACAAAGGCUGGGGUGGUCUGGGGAAUUUGGCAGAACCAAAGGACUUUGUAUACUUUUUGGAUAAUUGCCCCCAUGACUGGCUAUUUUUAAGAUGCAAGGCAGUGGUGCAUCACGGGGGUGCUGGAACAACUGCUGCUGGUCUUAAAGCCGCUUGUCCAACAACCAUUAUUCCUUUCUUUGGGGACCAGCCCUUUUGGGGAGAACGGGUGCAUGCCAAAGGGCUAGGGCCAGCACCAAUCCCAGUUGAAGAGUUCUCACUUGAAAAGUUGGUUAAUGCAAUACACUUCAUGGUGGAUGAGAAGGUGAAAGAGCGUUGCAUUCAAUUGGCCAAGGCUAUGGAAAAUGAAGAUGGGGUGGAAGGUUCAGUUAAAGCGUUUUAUAAACAUUUUCCUAGAAAAAAACCAGAGACUGAACCUGAGCCAUCACCUUCGCCGAAGUUCUUUUCCAUUCGAAGCUGUUUUGGUCAUUCCCGUAAUUUGUGAGUUUUAAGGCCGACCGUCGGUCAUCUUGACCUCUCUUUAUCGUAUAUGGUCACAUAGCUGGUCAUCAUUUUUGCAAGUUUUCAAUGAGUGUAAAAAGCAGGUCCGAAUAUGGAUUUAUUGCCUCACAUAAUUGUAUUUGAUUCCACUUUGCAGAUGAAAUUUGGGUUUUAUAUAUGUAAAAAUGUGAAAAGCAGGUCCAAAUAUGAUUUUAUUGCCUUAUAUCUAGGUAUUGGAUUCCACUUUGCUAUUAAGGACUCCUUCGAGAGUAUUUUGCCCGAGUAUAUUAUCAGCAAUUCAUCACUGUACGGAAGU